This is a long non-coding RNA of Chelonia mydas (Green sea turtle), 4914 nucleotides long. RefSeq lists it as uncharacterized. The record is from RefSeq and is a predicted model, not a curated record. NCBI's taxonomy places the organism in Eukaryota, Metazoa, Chordata, Testudines, Cheloniidae. The transcript is spliced from 3 exons.
UCUUCUUUUCCUGGGGCUGGUACCUGAUGUCCAGUCCAGGCAGGCAAAGAAAUCCUCUUUCACAACCAUUUCCCAAGUGCAUUAGCACAUAGAGAAGGGCCCCUUUAUCUGUCUAACAUGGCAGCCUGUCCCUUUAAGGGUCAGCUGGCCCUCUCCAAUUAGCGCCCUCUGUGCCAUAAUUAGCUGCCUCUCCUUCUGAGGAGGUGGGAUUAAUGGGGCCAUUUGUGAGUAUGGUGAACACCUGUGCUUUGUAAAAAGAGAGAGAGAGAGAGAGAGCGAGCACAGUUGGGGGACAAGCUGUGGUAGCAACUGCAGAAAGCAGCUAUUUCUGGCAGGGUGUGCUACCCCCAGGGUGCAGUGGAGGUCUCUGGGAGAAGCUUGUGGGCUACAUGAGGAGGAAGGCAGUGGAGGAAAGCUGCUAGGAGAGAAAGAAGUCUCUGGGGAGAAAGUGCCCUGCUAUAAGGAGCAAGAACUCUGCAGGCCUGUGGGAGUAGGGGUAAAGAGCAGGGAACUCCAAUGAGCAAUAGACUGUGAGAGAGACUCCAAAGGAAGCAUCCUGGAAUCCAGCUUUCUCUAAAGGAGACAGAAAGCCUUCAAUAUAGACUAGAAUGGGCUCAGUUCUCUGCCCCAAAGGUAGGUGGAAGAACAAGACUUCUGUUAUCCUGGAAAGGGCCUGAACUUGAGAGGUGACCUGGCUGGAGGGCUGGGCCCCAGGAGAUCCAGGCUGUUGGAGAACCAGCUUGGCUGACAACUGGGUGGUGCUGGAAUAGAAGAAUCCCUGUGUCCUGAUUUGAGGGGUUGCUCUGGUGCAGCCCUGCCAUUCCAGUGCCAGGCUCUCUCGCAGCGCCGCUAAUGCAUGUCAAUCCAGACCAGGAGCAUCCCUCUGCGAUGCGUCCUGGGCCUCCAUUCAGCUCUGCUAAUGCAUGUCAAUCGUAGCUUUAAACACCCCCUGCUAAUCCAAUUCAGGGGCCCCAGCACCGCAGCUCUCUGAGUACGAGGCCCCUCACAGCUCGGACAGCACUCACCAAUCCGGACCUGCUGUUCCAGCCUUGGGCCUCGUCUGAGGAGAGGUGGGGUAAAGGACGGGCGACAUCUGAACAACGCGUAGCCAAAGGAGAGAUUUCCAGGGCUUUGUCACUGCAGGUCUCGCUUUCACAAAAUACCUCGGCUUCCCCUGGUGUAAGCGCAGGGCAGCUGGAGGGAGCGGUGGAGGUGGGAGGACAGUCACCCUCCGCACACAGUGAUGGCUGUUGUUAAACGUGGAGAAGGGCUGAAUCUCUGGCCUCCCACCAGCUUCUCUGGUAUUUUCAGCUGCCCAUCCAGGGGAUAACCUCCUGGCAACGCGCUAGCAGCUGACAAACUGCCCUUUCUCUACUCCAGCCGCCUGGGCCAAUGCCCACUGAAGUCAAUGGAAAGACUCCCACUGAUUUCAAGGGGCUCUGGAUCAGGCUCUGUGUUUACUACCCCUUGCUCCUCCUCCCUCUCUGAGGGUCUGAUCCUGCGCCGUGCACUCUGAACACCCACUGACUUCAGUGGGAUGUCCUAGGCGCAGAGCACCUCUCCGGAUUGGGCCCCUCUCUGGGGAGGAGGUGUUGAGCGAGGAGAGCGCCCUGGCCAAGAGUCAGUUGGCUCAAGGCUGUUCCCCACCAUUGUGGCACCAAACCUCAUAGGUGGAGACUGGACUGGGGGUUCCCCAGAGCUGGGGCAGGAGAAGUGGGGAGGCCCGAGGAGGAGGGAAAGUCAGACGGUGGAGCGAGACCAACACUGGGAAGAUUCAGGGCAACUAAAGAUCUUGGAGCACCUCAUAUGAGAGAGAAGCAGGGACCUCUGGAGGAGAAAAGGAAGGUGGGGCUCAGGGCCUCCAAAGGAAGAGAGGGAUCAAAGGUGUAACAAGGCUGGUGCCUCCUAGACAUGUUCCAUGGCAGAAGGGGGAGCAGUCAGCAAAGAUGGCUCUUCCUCUCAGAUGUGGCUGAUUUACAGUGAAUCCUAGCACUUUCUGAUUCUCUCUUUCCAGCCCGGAAGCAGAUUCUUUCCCAGCGGCCCAGUGAAGGUUUGGGGGGAAGGUGUGUUGUUCCUCAGCCCUGCAGGCCCGGUGGAGCUAUCAGACAUAGAGCUGGACUCUAUUCUUGCUCGUGUACGGUCGCACAAAUUGUUCGCUACCUUCCAGUGGCAGUAUCUUCCUUGCAGGGGGUGAAGCAUGAGCCAGAAAGAAGCUGGCUUUGUUUAGAACUGGAGUGUGAAUGCCUUCAUUGCUGGCAAGCCGUUACUGCCAAUCUCAAGUGCCCAACCAUCACGGGUCAGGCCCAGAAGGCUCAUGACCCUGGUUUAAAAUCAGGAGAUUGAAUGGAAAAAAAAAAAUCAGUGGGAGGUUCUUUCUUUGCACCUUUGGGGUGCACUCUGGCCAUGUGGUCAAGCUUUUCUCCUCAACCAGCAGGGCUAGAAACUUCUUAUUGAAAGGGGAGCUGCAAUUCCCCCAUAGUCACCUGAGUCCACUGGGCCUUCAGUUACUCAGAUACAGCCAAUUGGAGUCAACGCUCAUCAGUGUAAGAGGUUGACGAUUGGCCUUUAGGGAUCCUGGGCAGAGGUUGAGCGGUUAUCUCUCACACAAGUUCCUUUUCCUUGUCAGUUGAGCAGAUCUGGUUAUGGAGUCACAGGAAGACAAUAAACGGCUGGUUGGCCGGUUAGGGUUUUUUGAGUCCCCUUUUGGAGCAGGGCCAAACUUUAAAAGACUCUGGUUUGGGUCAUCCCUGAAAUAGGUUGGACGUGCACUAGUGAAUGAGAAACAGUUGGAGACGCUGGCCUCAUGGAUCAAGUCUCUGUCUCGUAUUUGAAAGGUUCUGAGCCCUGGACCAUUUUGCAAGGUGUAGCUAGGAGUAAUCUACCCUAGGCUUUUCCAUAGCACCAAGUGCCAGAAUGAAAUUAACCAAGGCCCUUUUUUGGCCGAACAUCAGGAGGCUUUCCUAACGGAGAGAUCUACUGGGCUGUAUAUAGCCUCCCAAAGGAAUUGGCAGAGACUCCAUUGCUGGUGAUUUCCAACUGUCUGGGUCAAAACACUGGAGAAAGGAUUGUAUAGGGAAAUCCUGCAUUGGCCCCCGAGGAUCAGACUCAGGAGCAAAUACAUCAGGUGCAUCUCUUAUUUCUGUGGUUCUAGGGACUGAUUGCCCUUCUGCAGAAAUAAGAAGUGGCUGUGAAGCUCUGACUCCAAAAUGCUAUAGAGCUAGAACGGGACACGUGGCACCAAUUCACCUGCUCCGAUUCAGUUGCCCAAACCCCUUCUGCUGCUGUCAAGCUCUGGGCUGCUGUCCUCAGUGCCCCAGCCUCAUGCAUGUCGCCUGGGGCCGCCGCUCUUAGGAAUGCCCAGGGACCCACGGCAGGCCUGUUGCCCUAAGGCUAUGCAGCCACUGCACCCAGAGAGUGCUGCCAGGGGAAGGCUCCCUCCAGGGCCCAUGCUUCACCCUGCUGUUUUGCUGUCGGUUCUGCAUGCGCAAACAGGGAGCGGUUAUCCCCUCCUCCAGGCCUGCACUGAGCUCCCCUGGCACUGCUGAUGUACCUGAAUGGAAAAUGUAACAAACAAUUCACUACAGUGAUCAUCUCUCCCCUGGGGCCCAGCAACAGGGAAGAGGAGGAAGUAAACCUACAAGCUACCAUAUAUGGCACUUCCAAGGGUCCCAUGGCUACUCCAAAUCCCAGCUCUGCCCGGUGGCUUUUAAUCUUUAACCUUUUCAAAGGGAACAGCCAGAUCCCCUAAAUGGAAUCAGUGGCAGUCAGGGACCUAAAUACUUUUGAGGAUCUGGGCCUGAGAGACUGGGGGCUCGUUCCUGUGAGGUGCUGACUUCAGUGGAGACUGUGGGUGCUCUAUCAGCGAGAUGGAGCCCUUGCUGAGUAAGGAGUGAGCUGGGACCAGAGCUGUACUUGUGACUGCCCUCCAGGGCAGGGGGGAGCUCCUGUCUCUCUGACACUCACUGUUUUCCUGGACUUAGCUGCAAAUCCUCUCUUGUCCCUUGUCCGGCUUCUUUUCCUCCUCCCCAGCCAUGACAUCAAGUGAGUGACAGAAAUGUUCCAGCACUGAGCGCAACUGGCCGGGCAUCAGCUCCUGUGACCUGCUGGCCCUGAACUCUGGCGGUGGGGUGGCGUGUGUGUUACACAAACAGGGUCACCCCUGUUGCAGAAGGGGAUACAGAACAACUGAGCAGAGCAGAGCCCAGGCGAUCUGGAGGCUGCUAGACUCCCAUAGGGGUUUUGGGCUCUGUUCUCCUUUCAUUCACACCAGGGAGGAUCGCCAUGCUACUCUGGUGUGACCUCAGCCUAAGUGGAAGGAGAACCAGGUGCUCAGAUUAUAGUGGCUCUGAGCAGCAAUUAGAGCAAUUCCCUCUCUUUUCACUGCCCUGCCGACUCCUUGGUUGGGGCAGCAGGUUUGCACCCGCCACGUAGCGCUGUGCGUGUACCGGAGUGACUAUUAACUAGCUGAUGCCCUGUGACAGCUGUGAGCUCUUUAACAAGCUCGCAGGCUCUCCCUUUCAUUAGCUGGGAUCAGGGCGCAGAGCCAUGGAGGGGAAAUCAGGGCUGUGUCCUGCAGUCUCGGACUGAGACAGACAGGCAGAGUAUUCUCACGUAGGAAGACACUCCAGUCUCCCCAGCGUCUAGUCUUGCAGUGCUGCAUCCAGGAAGGAUUGUCCAGUGGUUAGGGCACUAGCUGGGGAACUGGAUUCAAUUCCCUCUCCACCACAGACCGCCUGCCUACCCAUGGGCAAGUCCCUUAGCCUCUCUGUGCCUCAGAGCCCCAUCUGUACAACAGAGAUCCUAGUAGGACUUCAGAGAGGCGCUGUGCUGGCUUGAUUGCCUAGCUCCCUGCUGCUAAAAGGUCUAGAGCCACCAGUACCCUGGUUGCACCUAUGCUCCUUGCCCGCCACAUAU